GGAAGCCGUUAAAUGCAGGGGCUUGGAAAAGGCUCCAUACCCACUCCUUCUCAACCCCCAGAGGCCCCUGUAGACUAUUUCACACUUCCCCAAACUAAGCGGCAGGAAGAGCCAUUUCCAUCACAUCAUGUCAAAGGUACUUGUCAAAAUGGGAUCCAACUAAUGAGAGAUGCAAGGAAACCCUGUACAGUGACAAGUUUUUGGAGCUUUUUUAUCAGUGAGUCCCUGUGUUGCAAAAGAAAUUGAAACGUUCUUCUCAGCUCAACUACCAGUUGAUGCUCAGGAGACUGAGCUUUGGAGUGUUAUAGAGAGACAUCCUCCCUCUGAGUGCCAAUGUCUUCAUGUGUAAAUGAGGGUAAUAACACUAAUCUCAUAGUUUGUUGUAAAGAUUAAAUGAAGUAAAAUCCUUAAAAUGCUUAAACCAUGUGGGCAUGUGUGCUAAGUAUGUAAUAAAAGAAGCCACUGCAA
Manis pentadactyla (Chinese pangolin) is the source of this 468-nucleotide long non-coding RNA. RefSeq lists it as uncharacterized. The transcript has 2 exons. The record is from RefSeq and is a predicted model, not a curated record. NCBI's taxonomy places the organism in Eukaryota, Metazoa, Chordata, Mammalia, Pholidota, Manidae.